Molecule: ribosomal RNA, 478 nt
Filed under: uncultured bacterium
Lineage: Bacteria
Description: partial 16S ribosomal RNA
Rfam family: Bacterial small subunit ribosomal RNA
Source: RNAcentral
GACGAACGCUGGCGGCGUGCUUAACACAUGCAAGUCGAACGGUAAGGCCCUUCGGGGUACACGAGUGGCGAACUGGUGAGUAACACGUGGGUGAUCUGCCCUGCACUUCGGGAUAAGCCGGGGAAACUGGGUCUAAUACCGGAUAGGACCACUGCCUGCAUGGGUGGUGGUGGAAAGCUUUUGCGGUGUGGGAUGGGCCCGCGGCCUAUAGGCUGGUUGGUGGGGUGAUGGCCUACCAAGGCGACGACGGGUAGCCGGCGUGAGAGGGGGACCGGCCACCCUGGGACUGAGAUACGGCCCAGACCCCUACGGGAGGCAGCAGUGGGGAAUAUUGCACAAUGGGCGCAAGCCUGAUGCAGCGACGCCGCGUGAGGGAUGACGGCCUUCGGGUUGUAAACCUCUUUCAGCACCGACGAAGCGCAAGUGACGGUAGGUGCAGAAGAAGGACCGGCCAACUACGUGCCAGCCGCCGCGGUAA